This 724-nucleotide ribosomal RNA is filed under the name uncultured Fusobacterium sp. Its description in RNAcentral is "bacterial SSU rRNA". It matches the Rfam family "Bacterial small subunit ribosomal RNA", at positions 28 to 776 of the family's 1533-position model. Lineage: Bacteria; Fusobacteriati; Fusobacteriota; Fusobacteriia; Fusobacteriales; Fusobacteriaceae. The record is from RNAcentral.
GAUGAACGCUGACAGAAUGCUUAACACAUGCAAGUCGACUCGAGUCUUCGGACUUGGGUGGCGGACGGGUGAGUAACGCGUAAAGAACUUGCCUCAUAGUCUGGGACAACAUCUGGAAACGGAUGCUAAUACCGGAUAUUAUGCUUUCUUCGCAUGGAGGAAGUAUGAAAGCUAUAUGCGCUAUGAGAGAGCUUUGCGUCCCAUUAGCUAGUUGGUGAGGUAACGGCCCACCAAGGCGAUGAUGGGUAGCCGGCCUGAGAGGGUGAACGGCCACAAGGGGACUGAGACACGGCCCUUACUCCUACGGGAGGCAGCAGUGGGGAAUAUUGGACAAUGGACCAAAAGUCUGAUCCAGCAAUUCUGUGUGCACGAUGACGUUUUUCGGAAUGUAAAGUGCUUUCAGUCGGGAAGAAGCAAGUGACGGUACCGACAGAAGAAGCGACGGCUAAAUACGUGCCAGCAGCCGCGGUAAUACGUAUGUCGCAAGCGUUAUCCGGAUUUAUUGGGCGUAAAGCGCGUCUAGGCGGCAAGGAAAGUCUGAUGUGAAAAUGCGGGGCUCAACUCCGUAUUGCGUUGGAAACUGCCUUGCUAGAGUACUGGAGAGGUAGGCGGAACUACAAGUGUAGAGGUGAAAUUCGUAGAUAUUUGUAGGAAUGCCGAUGGGGAAGCCAGCCUACUGGACAGAUACUGACGCUAAAGCGCGAAAGCGUGGGUAGCAAACAGG